CCUCUGGUGUACCAGUUGUCGUGCCAACGGCAUAGCUGGGUAGCUAUGUGUGGACGGGAUAAGUGCUGAAAGCAUCUAAGCAUGAAGCCCCCCUCAAGAUGAGAUUUCCCAACUUCGGUUAUAAGAUCCCUCAAAGAUGAUGAGGUUAAUAGGUUCGAUGUGGAAGCAUGGUGACAUGUGGAGCUGACGAAUACUAAUCGAUCGAAGACUUAAUCAAAA
This 219-nucleotide ribosomal RNA is filed under the name Staphylococcus aureus. RNAcentral describes it as "partial 23S ribosomal RNA". It matches the Rfam family "Bacterial large subunit ribosomal RNA", at positions 2706 to 2925 of the family's 2925-position model. The record is from RNAcentral. Lineage: Bacteria; Bacillati; Bacillota; Bacilli; Caryophanales; Staphylococcaceae.